This 560-nucleotide ribosomal RNA is filed under the name uncultured eubacterium SW3. RNAcentral's name for it is "bacterial SSU rRNA". It matches the Rfam family "Bacterial small subunit ribosomal RNA", at positions 338 to 916 of the family's 1533-position model. The record is from RNAcentral.
CCUACGGGAGGCAGCAGUGGGGAAUCUUGGACAAUGGGCGCAAGCCUGAUCCAGCCAUGCCGCGUGAGUGAUGAAGGCCCUAGGGUCGUAAAGCUCUUUCAACUGUGAAGAUAAUGACGGUAGCAGUAGAAGAAACCCCGGCUAACUCCGUGCCAGCAGCCGCGGUAAUACGGAGGGGGUUAGCGUUGUUCGGAAUUACUGGGCGUAAAGCGUACGUAGGCGGACUAUUAAGUUAGAGGUGAAAUCCCAGGGCUCAACCCUGGAACUGCCUUUAAUACUGGUAGUCUUGAGUUCGAGAGAGGUGAGUGGAAUUCCAAGUGUAGAGGUGAAAUUCGUAGAUAUUUGGAGGAACACCAGUGGCGAAGGCGGCUCACUGGCUCGAUACUGACGCUGAGGUACGAAAGUGUGGGGAGCAAACAGGAUUAGAUACCCUGGUAGUCCACACCGUAAACGAUGAAUGCCAGUCGUCGGGUAGUAUACUAUUCGGUGACACACCUAACGGAUUAAGCAUUCCGCCUGGGGAGUACGGUCGCAAGAUUAAAACUCAAAGGAAUUGACGG